AUGGCUAUACAUAGUAUAUAAUAUAUACACAUAGAGUUAUGGUUUAUAACUAUAUAUAGCCAUAUACACGUAGAGUUAUGGUUUAUGGCUAUACAUA
This is a non-coding RNA of Alnus glutinosa, 97 nucleotides long. The record is from RefSeq and is a predicted model, not a curated record. Lineage: Eukaryota; Viridiplantae; Streptophyta; Magnoliopsida; Fagales; Betulaceae.